GAUGAAGAACGUAGCGAAAUGCGAUAAGUAAUGUGAAUUGCAGAUUUCAGUGAAUCAUCGAAUCUUUGAACGCACCUUGCGCUCCUUGGUAUUCCGAGGAGCAUGCCUGUUUGAGUGUCAUUAAAUUCUCAACUCUCCAACUGUUGUCAUGACUGGUGGUAGAGCUUGGACGUGAGGGUUCUGCCGGCUCCUUGUUGAGUCUGGCUCCCUUGAAAAUGAUUAGCGCAGCUUGCACUGUCCGCUUCAGGUGUGAUAAUUUAUCUACGCCCGACUAGCGACGCGCAUGAAUGGCUUUGUGCUUCUAACCGUCUCGAAAGAGACAAUACCUUUUGAACUUGACCUCAAAUCAGGUAGGACUACCCGCUGAACUUAAGCAUAUCAAUAAGCGGAGGA
This 393-nucleotide unclassified non-coding RNA is filed under the name soil metagenome. Its description in RNAcentral is "partial contains 5.8S ribosomal RNA, internal transcribed spacer 2, and large subunit ribosomal RNA". The stretch from base 1 to 120 matches the Rfam family "5.8S ribosomal RNA", at positions 35 to 154 of the family's 154-position model. The record is from RNAcentral.